GUCCCUGCUCAUUUUGAGGAUGCAUCACAACAGGAAACUGCUAUCCCUCUAAAUUUCUGUCUUUACCAGCCUGCUGAAUCCCAGCCUGAAGAGACUGGAUUACUGCUGUGGAAGGCCUGUAUAGAGCCAGCAAGGUACAGCUCACCUGGAACAGAGGACAGCCUGUGACUCUGCAACUCGCCUGGGCAGACAGGUUCUC
Molecule: long non-coding RNA, 199 nt
Filed under: Callithrix jacchus (white-tufted-ear marmoset)
Lineage: Eukaryota; Metazoa; Chordata; Mammalia; Primates; Cebidae
Description: lncRNA (ENSCJAG00000070676.1)
Source: RNAcentral